This 74-nucleotide transfer RNA is filed under the name Sphaerodactylus townsendi. Its description in RNAcentral is "tRNA-Gln". It matches the Rfam family "tRNA". From Rfam's summary of the family: Transfer RNA (tRNA) molecules are approximately 80 nucleotides in length. Their secondary structure includes four short double-helical elements and three loops (D, anti-codon, and T loops). Lineage: Eukaryota; Metazoa; Chordata; Lepidosauria; Squamata; Sphaerodactylidae. The record is from RNAcentral.
GGGGCUGCGGUUCAGUGGUAGAAUGUCUGCUUUUGGCAUGCAGAAGGUUCGCGGUUCAAUCCCUGGCAUCUCCA